UGUGAGUUUUAUAAAGUCGCCGUGCACAGUACAAUUCAUUUAAUUUUCACACAAAAGGAGAGAAAGUUCAUGAAAAAAGGUAUUAAAAUUUGACUAAUACCACUGAUCAACACUGCAUCAUUCCCUCAAGUACUUCAGAAAUAAAAUAUACAAAUGUGGGCAGCGAAAAAUCCUCUAAAUGACCACCAUGAUGAAUAGUGACACCCUUUCCAUGGUGCCAAACCACCAAGAAAGGAAGUCAGUAAAUGCUGUAACAUGUCUAACCUUUUAACAGUAAGCAUGAAACCCAAUCUACUUCCACGAAUUUGCCUUGCUCUCACUUAGUUUAUCUGGCAGGUUGCCAAUUUAACCAUUAGCGUAAGAUCCUCAGAAUACAGUCAUUAGAUGUGGCUGUCAAGUGCACUUCCUCUUUUAUUUGUUAGCAUUGAAAAGUCUGUAGCAACAUCAUUUAAAAGCCAUGGCUACCUUGAGAGUUUACUCUUCAUCAUGGAGGAAGCAUAAUAGCAUGAAGUCACCUCUGAUAAGCAAACUCUUGUUUCCAACCGGAGAGUUCAAAUUUAAGCAGGACAUGUGACCCACCUGUGCAAAAUGCAAGAUACAGGAAACCUGCAUACUGGUCUUGAAUAGGAGCCAGCUCGGAAGUUAAUGAUGGUGGCUACUUGCCAGAAUAUAACAAUAGGAACAUUACUAAAGAUGUUUGUGCAUUGGAAAAUCUCAAACCACAGAAGCUGAAUAGCAACAAACAUUAUCAACCCAAGAGGUCCUCAUGUAGCAGUAACUAUAAAGCAUCAUUGCAUGGUUCUGUUCUCUAUUCAGUUCCUCAUCAUCCUUCUGCAGGGAAGUUAAAGUGUUAAUCAACUUUUAUUAAAUCAAAUUGGUUCAAAUUCACAUUCAGUUGUAAAGAAUAUGCAUAUUUGAAAAUGUUGUUGUCAAUCCUACCAUACAAUUCCAGUGUUACAUUGUCUGAGAGGUCAAUGCACCUGAACAAUCUAAUUAAAGGUGCUUUUCUGUUGAGUAAUAUUGGGCAAAAACAAGUACGUAGUUUCUCUGAGGUAGUAUUGGGUUAAGAUUCAAGAUUGCAUAGUCAUUUCCAGUGCAAAAGUGUAAAGCAGACCAAAAUAAUUGUUACUCCGGAUCCAAUGCAGCACAAUAAAUAUAAAUACAUAAAAUGGCUUAUACACAUAGUUUGUAUAUACAUAAGGUGAUGCUAGGUACUGGAUGUCUGUUAAAAAAAAGGUGACUGACAAGAAAUGAUUAAGAAGUCCUGGUAGGAGAUGUGGAGGGGUGUGUUAGUGGGUGGAGGUGUUGAUCAGUCUUACAGCUUGGGGAAAGUAACUGCUUUUGAGUCUGAUAGUCCAAUACUUGAGAUUUAAAUCUUCAACAACUGGGACUCAACCAAAAUAUCGAUUUGAUUAUGUUAACUGUGCAAUACAGAGAAUUUAAAAAUGUCAUUAAUUCUCUGUAUCAGGCAAUGAUUAUAUUAAAGAAGUAUUUCACAUAAAAUGUUGACAGAGAUAGUAGCACCCAAAUUAGGACAUGUGCUCAAUUAUUAAUGUGCUGGUGAAUAAACAAGGAACACAUACGCUUGACAGAACAAAUACUACAAAUCUCACGUGGAAUAACAGAGAAACAGAUUUUAACCUGAGCGUUCCAUGUUGUGAACUCACGUUCCCAAGACAUUUCUUAGUUGAUUGUCUGCACAGUUGCACCCUAUUGAAGUGCCUUCUAUUGUUUGGUUUGGAGGUGGUAAAUCUUAGAAGCCACAGAAAUUUAGCUCCUGGAAUGACAGACACUGUUAGAGCCUAAUCCAUCAACAUAUGAAUACUGCCUGCAGUGCGGAGAAAAUAGAUCACGAAAAUGGGAGGUUCACUGUUGUCAGAAAUAUUCACAGAGAAUGUCUGUUUUUGUUUAUCUAAUUUGUUCUGAAAAGUCAGCAUAAACUUUUCUGGCUCCAGGAGAGAAGGAAAAGAAAGAUAAUUUAAAAGCAGAGAAGAUGAAUAUUAGUCUCACAAAUUAAUAUUGCUAAUAACUUCAUUGGGCUGAUGCACUAGUGGAUUUGUCAACCUGCUGUCUAAUUUCCAUCUCUAAGAUUUAGAUCCAUUACCUAAAUUAGCACUUCGGUGUGCUGGUGAAGAAGUACUGCAUUAGUAGAGGUAUUGCUUUUCAGAUAAGAUGUAAAGCCAAGAAACUUAUUUCCAAUAAAAUGAAUGCUAAGGACCUGACCACAUAAUUUGUAGUCCCAGAGUUACCAUUUAUCCCGAGUCAAUCUCACUGAUGUAGAUUGGAGUAGAACUACAAAUUUGGUCACUGGUGCAAGAGCAUUGCUGCAAGAGGCUUUACUCUACUUCUGAAAUUUAGUUCUAUUGACAUCAAUUUUUAGCAUAAGUGAUCAAGAAAUUCUGCUCCUAUUAUCUGCUCACCCAUCUGUUUUACUUGUGGUGUUUUGCUGUUUGUAAGUUGGCUGGUCUAUUUGGCUACAUGACUGUAGAGUUUUUACUUCAAAACCACUUCAUUUUGGAAAAUA
Long non-coding RNA from Mobula hypostoma (lesser devil ray), 2524 nucleotides. RefSeq lists it as uncharacterized. NCBI's taxonomy places the organism in Eukaryota, Metazoa, Chordata, Chondrichthyes, Myliobatiformes, Myliobatidae. The transcript is spliced from 3 exons. The record is from RefSeq and is a predicted model, not a curated record.